This 429-nucleotide unclassified non-coding RNA is filed under the name Hevea brasiliensis (rubber tree). The record is from RNAcentral. Lineage: Eukaryota; Viridiplantae; Streptophyta; Magnoliopsida; Malpighiales; Euphorbiaceae.
AACUUAUUUGUUCAGGUCAAAAAAAAACAAUUACCUUCUUGAGCUUUUUAUUCGCUGUAGGCAUAGUAACAUGUCAAUGACGGAUGAUACUGAAACUGGCAAGUGCAACUUGCCGAGUCAGAGGGAUGCGUGUUUUUUAGAUGCCCUUUCCAAUUCCAACUUUCGGUUUAAUUCUUCAUGGCAGUAAAAUUGUGUUUAGCAACUAUUCAAGUGCUUAUUGUAGAGAGAUUUUAAGCCGUAAUUACUAUAUGGUUAUUCUUAAUUUUCCUCGAGCAGACCCAUGCCUGUAGCUCUGGGAACUGUCUGCAUAUCCUAUAUAAAUGUAAGCAGGAAGUCACUGCUGGUUGAACUGGCGUGCAAAAGAUUUAUUUCUACCCUAGGAUUUGGUUGUGAAUUUUUCACCAUAUUGUAAUUACGGCUUAAAAUCUC